GGGGACGUAGCUCAGCAGGAUAGAGCGCAGGGCUCCGGACCCUGAGGUCGCGGGUUCGACUCCCGCCGUCCCCA
RNAcentral lists this transfer RNA (74 nucleotides) under Aquificota bacterium. RNAcentral describes it as "Aquificae bacterium (hydrothermal vent metagenome) tRNA-Arg". It matches the Rfam family "tRNA". From Rfam's summary of the family: Transfer RNA (tRNA) molecules are approximately 80 nucleotides in length. Their secondary structure includes four short double-helical elements and three loops (D, anti-codon, and T loops). Lineage: Bacteria; Pseudomonadati; Aquificota. The record is from RNAcentral.